AAAGAUUAAGCCAUGCAUGUCUAAGUAUAGCAUCUAUACCGUGAAACUGCGAAUGGCUCAUUAAAUCAGUUAUCGUUUAUUUGAUAGUACCUUACUACAUGGAUACCCGUGGUAAUUCUAGAGCUAAUACAUGCUAAAAACCCCAACUUCGGGAGGGGUGUAUUUAUUAGAUAAAAAACCAACGCCCUUCGGGGCUCCUUGGUGAAUCAUAAUAACUUCUCAGAUCGCAUGGCCUUGCGCCGGCGACGGUUCAUUCAAAUUUCUGCCCUAUCAACUUUCGAUGGUAAGGUAUUGGCUUACCAUGGUUU
Molecule: ribosomal RNA, 308 nt
Filed under: uncultured fungus
Lineage: Eukaryota; Fungi
Description: SSU rRNA
Rfam family: Eukaryotic small subunit ribosomal RNA
Source: RNAcentral